Molecule: microRNA precursor, 193 nt
Filed under: Corchorus olitorius
Lineage: Eukaryota; Viridiplantae; Streptophyta; Magnoliopsida; Malvales; Malvaceae
Description: MIR159 microRNA precursor family
Rfam family: MIR159 microRNA precursor family
Source: Rfam by way of RNAcentral
UAAGGCUUAAGGGAGCUCUCUACAAGCCAAUUCUGAAAGGAAAUGAUGGCACAAUGCCACAGCUGCUAGUUCAUGGUCACCCCUGCCUCCGCACCAAUUUUCCGGCGCAGGCUAGGGUUUGCAUGAACUAGGAGACGUGGGUUGCCUUCAUCUUUUUGGUUUUGGUUUGAAGGGAGUUCCCUUUUGCUCUUUC